This 253-nucleotide ribosomal RNA is filed under the name uncultured bacterium. RNAcentral's name for it is "partial 16S ribosomal RNA". It matches the Rfam family "Bacterial small subunit ribosomal RNA", at positions 524 to 776 of the family's 1533-position model. The record is from RNAcentral.
UACGAAGGGUGCAAGCGUUAAUCGGAAUUACUGGGCGUAAAGCGUGCGUAGGCGGUUUCUUAAGUCCGUUGUGAAAGCCCUGGGCUCAACCUGGGAACUGCGAUGGAUACUGAGGAGCUGGAGUACGGUAGAGGAAGGUGGAAUUCCCGGUGUAGCAGUGAAAUGCGUAGAUAUCAGGAGGGAUACCGAUGGCGAAGGCAGGUCUCUGGGCUGACACUGACGCUCAUGCACGAAAGCGUGGGGAGCAAACAGG